This 131-nucleotide ribosomal RNA is filed under the name Listeria monocytogenes. RNAcentral describes it as "partial 23S ribosomal RNA". It matches the Rfam family "Bacterial large subunit ribosomal RNA", at positions 2797 to 2925 of the family's 2925-position model. Lineage: Bacteria; Bacillati; Bacillota; Bacilli; Caryophanales; Listeriaceae. The record is from RNAcentral.
CCUCAAGAUGAGAUUUCCCAUUUCUUCGGAAAGUAAGAUCCCUGAAAGAUGAUCAGGUAGAUAGGUUUGGAGUGGAAGUGUAGCAAUACAUGGAGCGGACAAAUACUAAUCGAUCGAGGACUUAACCAAAA